This 315-nucleotide long non-coding RNA is filed under the name Apteryx owenii (little spotted kiwi). Its description in RNAcentral is "lncRNA (ENSAOWG00000012791.1)". Lineage: Eukaryota; Metazoa; Chordata; Aves; Apterygiformes; Apterygidae. The record is from RNAcentral.
ACAUACAGGUAUUUGGCUUGCUGAAGUAAGAGUAGAAGAAUUUACUAUGUUUUACUUUCUUAUUUUUUUAGGUGAGAGAAUCUUUUGACAAAUUGCCUGGCAGAUCACUAACUGGAAAAGACAUCUAAGUUGCCACCGGCAAUUAGAGCAAACAGGAUUUUUCUGGAAGCUUCUUCCUUUUCCUCCUGCUCUUCUGCAGCAAGAAACCACUGGGUUCCCUCAAAGUUAAAACCAACUGCAAGCCUGCCAAAACCCAAAGCUAUACACUGUCGGAGGACGCCGGAGUGGGAGGUGGGCCCGGAGUAACGACGGAGU